RNAcentral lists this long non-coding RNA (3676 nucleotides) under Lynx pardinus (Iberian lynx). The record is from RNAcentral. Lineage: Eukaryota; Metazoa; Chordata; Mammalia; Carnivora; Felidae.
ACUGCAAGAUCUGGGCUGCUGUGGCUGAUCAGUUUACAACCUGUCUCUAAUUUAUCUGCAUUUAAAAAACUGAUCGUGGACAGCAAGGCAGAAUGUGAUUGCAGCGUGACUGGCUCAGACAAGUGAGGAGGAGGAGGAGGAGGAGGAGGAGAGCCCAAGCAGGCACACAGCUCUAGGGGAGACACGCGAGUGGGAAAGAAAAUGUCUGCUGAAGGAGGUCCCCGCUUCUCAUUUGCAGCAGGCUAAACUAUUUCCAGGAUCCCAUUCUCCAUUUCUGAUAUUGUGUGUGCUUCGUUCUAUUAUCCCAACAUUUGGCAAAUGGUUUCCAAGUCCAAACAUUUGGUAUUAUUUUACGCUAGGUGAACGUGGGGCUCUUAGCAGGCUCAGGCUGGAUUCGAAAGCUGGCUGUGACUGCUGUAAUUUGGUCAUGGAUCUUUUUGUUCAGCAGUCAGGCUGUCGUUGGAAUGCUUAAUUCAUACACAGGAAGAGCUGCUGUUGUUGGUUUUAGCAGCCUGCAGUCCAAGGCAACGGUGGGUCCGGAAAAGGGCACUUACCAUUCUCACUACAGACCUGGGGAUCUCAAAGCUUGGCUUCUUUCAAGGAGUCCCAAUUGUGGCCUGAUCACCUCAUGCAUAUAAAAUCUGUUAGUUAUUCACUGAUAUCCAGUGAUACGAACUACCUAUUGACACAUAACUAAGAGAAAUGACUAUACAUAACAGAAAAGCAAGGGAACUGAUAUAUGAAAAUAUGGACCAUGGAGGUAUAAGACAAGAUAUUUUAAUCAGCUACAUAAUCAAUCAACAACCAUUGAUUGAUCAACCUUUUAUUCCAAAAUAUUAAUUGAGAAUUCCACAAGCCAGGUACUAUGCCAGAUACUAAAAAUAUAUCAAUAAUAAGACACUAGCCAUAUUCUCAAGGAGCUCACAACACAGUUGGAUAAUCCGAGAAGCAAAGCAACAGUUACAAUACACAAGGGUAAGCGUCAGGAUAGGAAAGUUCAGGGAUCUGGGAGAACACAAAGAAAGGUAGAGGAAGGGAGUCCGAGAAAACUUCCAUGGGCCAGGGAACAUCUGCUGAGUUCCGACACAGAAAAGAUAGCCAGGCAGGGGUGAGGGAUGGGCAUCAGUCAGGUUUGUGACCCUCUGUGAUGCGAGGAAACCACAGAAGUAGAAGAUUAAAUGUCAAAUAAGUGGGUUAGUGCUACUGGAAUUCAGAAUACAGCAGAAGUCAUCAGUCACCACACUCCCAGAGGAUUUGAUGUGAGUUCUAGAGUAUUGGAAAGUUUUAUUCAGGUAGGCAAACCAGGGUAAGACCCUUUAUUACAGGGGAAACAAAUUAUAGGAUCAAGAAAGGACAGAGAUAUUUAGGGCCCAGUAUGUGGAACAUUCAUUCAAUAAAUGCGUAUUGAAAUUGUGUAGGACAAAAUAGUCUAAGGACUGCUUCUAUCCUAGAGACCAGGGGACAGUAAAUUCUGUUUUGUUUUAGGCUUUGUUGGCAACAUGGCAAUGGUCAGUGGACCAUGGUCUGCCAACCUUUGCUCUAGAGACAGGCACCCUUAUUAGGAACAAGAUAGGUAUACAAAUAAUUACAAUGCAAACGAAUUUUCCUGGAGUGGUGGAGGGUAAGUCUAGGGACGGGAACUGGGGUAAAGUUGUGGAAGGCUUUGAGUGUCAGGCUCAGCAUUUAGAUGUCAUCUUGUAAGUAGCAAGGCCCUGUUGAUGAUUUGGGGCAAGGGGUUGUCUUUUGGAAGAUUAAUUUUGGACCACUGUGCAGAGCCUGGAGGUGGGGAAACUUCUAGACAGUAUUCAAAGCAUGAAGAGAAGAAGUCAGUUUCUGCCAUUUGUAGAGAAAAUGGAAGGGGAGGACAAGAGUGAGAGGCAUUGCAUGUUGUCUAAUAACUGGGUAAGAGGCCAAAAAGAAAUAAAGGAAUCAAAGAUAAGCCUCACAGUGACAAAUCCAGGUGGCUACAUGGUGGUUCUGAAAGAAGAGAUACAAAAGGUUGGGAAAGGAGACUGGCUUCGGGACAGAUUUGUGUACCUUUGGUAUGCAUGUUGAGUUGGCGUUGACAUUGGGACAUCCACAGGACACCGCUGGUCUAAACUACCAGGAGGAGCUCACACAUACAGGGGGGCAGGACUGCAAAAGAAGAACCACGGAAAAACUGUGAAGAAUCCAUAGCCACAAAGGUUAGAAGGAUAAUAGCAGUGACACUAAUGGAGGGCUAUUAUUAUGCUAGUGUUGCCUUAGACGUCUUAACGUGUGUUCUCUGCCUUAAUGGCUCCUAUAGCCCUCUGAGGUAUAUAGUGUUAUCCUCAUUUUACAGAUGAAGAAACUGAGCCUUAAAGAAGUUAGGUAAUUUUCCCCAAGGCACCCAGUUAGGAAGGUGUUAAACCACGAUUAGUUAGCUCUGUCUGCCCCAUAAGACUGUGCUCAUAGCAUCAAACUGCACUGCCCCUUGCUUAGUAGGUUUCUUGCCUGGGUGCAGAAGCUUCUACUCCAAUAGAUUACCAAACUCAGGGCCUGUAUUCACUCUUGGGUUCCCAAUGUAUGUGGAAAAAUACCCUCUUUCUUUUCUUUUUUAAAUUAACCCAAAACCCAGAUGGGCACUGCUCACACAUUUACCCAUCCACUGCAGCUCUGACCUUCCCCUUGGACGUUCUCUCACCUUCUUCCACCAGAAAGAAGUCCCAGGGACAACCAGAGUGGCAUAAUCCCAGUCCCUCACUUAAAGGUGUAGUGUCCAAAGUUCACGGUAAUGGCCUCUUCCCCCCUCACCUGCUCUGGGCUACCGGACACCUUACGCGUGUUCCUUAAUGUCUUAGCUCCCAGUGGUAGAUUGCAAAAACUGGCCACAACAUUUCCCCUUCCUGCAUCCAUGCCACUGUGAUGUGACUUUGAAGUUCUUUCCAUCGAGAGGUAGUCUAUUUCCCCACCCCUGGGAUCUGGGCUGCCUUGUCACUUGCCUUGUGACUUGCUUUGGCCACUAGAAUGUGUUGAAAGCAGUAUUUUGUCAGUUCCAAGCCAAGGGUUCAAGCGGCCUUACAUGCAUCCACUAUCCCUUUAAAGACCCCUGCCUCCCCCCUCCCCGAUGUGAACACCCCGAGCUAGACUGCUGGUGAAUAAGAAGCUUCAUGGACCAGAGAUGAGUAGUUCUGUGAUCCCAGCCAAGUCCUAAGACAUGUGAGAGAGCCCAGCCAAGAUAAGCAACACCGCCUGCCCAACAUACCAACAAGCACACAACUCACUGUGGGUGCCUAAAGAACCCCCACUGAACCCAGACUAAAAUGGUGACUCACAGAAUCUUGAGCUAAGGACACGGUUGCUUUUCUUUUUUAAACUACUAAGUUUUGGGGUCUGUGAGCAGUAUAGCUGGUACACUACUUUUCACACUAAAACUUUAAUGAUAUCUGCAUUUAAACAGUCAUCAACUAACCACGUUCUAUACUAGAACUUCCUGGAUUUCACAUAUUUGAGGUUUCAGAGGACCCACUGGCUUGCUUAUGGUUACUAUGAAUUAGCCCCAGAACUGAGAACAGAAGGCAGAACCAGGCUAGCUGUACCUCUAAGCAGAAAGAUACUCCCUCUUAGAUGAAAGGGCUCUAAUUAAAAGGCAGGAAAGAUCAGAUACCUGUAGAGUUCACUGCUAAAGGUAUCUAAAAACCUGGCUCUCAAAGUC